GGAAAACUAACCGGACUUUGAA
This 22-nucleotide small nuclear RNA is filed under the name Arabidopsis thaliana (thale cress). Its description in RNAcentral is "snRNA_03810". The record is from RNAcentral. Lineage: Eukaryota; Viridiplantae; Streptophyta; Magnoliopsida; Brassicales; Brassicaceae.